RNAcentral lists this ribosomal RNA (307 nucleotides) under uncultured Spirotrichea. Its description in RNAcentral is "SSU rRNA". It matches the Rfam family "Eukaryotic small subunit ribosomal RNA", at positions 159 to 469 of the family's 1831-position model. Lineage: Eukaryota; Ciliophora; Spirotrichea. The record is from RNAcentral.
UAGAGCUAAUACAAUAAUAAAUGCCGAACUUCUCGGGGAGGCAGUAUUUAUUAGAUACGGGCCAAUAACCUUCUGGUAUUGUGGCGAAUCAUAGUAACUUUGCGGAUCGGCUGGGCGUUAGCCCACGACAAACCAUUCAAGUUUCUGCCCCAUCAGCUUUCGAUGGUAGUGUAUUGGACUACCAUGGCUUUUACGGGUGACGGAGGAUUAGGGUUCGAUUCCGGAGAGGGAGCCUGAGAAACGGCUACCACAUCCAAGGAAGGCAGCAGGCGCGUAAAUUACCCAAUCCUGACUCAGGGAGGUAGUG